GAUUAAGUUAUUAAGGGCGCACGGUGGAUGCCUUGGCACUAGAAGCCGAUGAAGGACGUUACUAACGACGAUAUGCUUUGGGGAGCUGUAAGUAAGCUUUGAUCCAGAGAUUUCCGAAUGGGGAAACCCAGCAUGAGUUAUGUCAUGUUAUCGAUAUGUGAAUACAUAGCAUAUCAGAAGGCACACCCGGAGAACUGAAACAUCUUAGUACCCGGAGGAAGAGAAAGAAAAUUCGAUUCCCUUAGUAGCGGCGAGCGAAACGGGAAGAGCCCAAACCAACAAGCUUGCUUGUUGGGGUUGUAGGACACUCUAUACGGAGUUACAAAGGACGACAUUAGACGAAUCAUCUGGAAAGAUGAAUCAAAGAAGGUAAUAAUCCUGUAGUCGAAAAUGUUGUCUCUCUUGAGUGGAUCCUGAGUACGACGGAGCACGUGAAAUUCCGUCGGAAUCUGGGAGGACCAUCUCCUAAGGCUAAAUACUCUCUAGUGACCGAUAGUGAACCAGUACCGUGAGGGAAAGGUGAAAAGCACCCCGGAAGGGGAGUGAAAUAGAACCUGAAACCGUGUGCUUACAAGUAGUCAGAGCCCGUUAAUGGGUGAUGGCGUGCCUUUUGUAGAAUGAACCGGCGAGUUACGAUUUGAUGCAAGGUUAAGCAGUAAAUGUGGAGCCGUAGCGAAAGCGAGUCUGAAUAGGGCGUUUAGUAUUUGGUCGUAGACCCGAAACCAGGUGAUCUACCCUUGGUCAGGUUGAAGUUCAGGUAACACUGAAUGGAGGACCGAACCGACUUACGUUGAAAAGUGAGCGGAUGAACUGAGGGUAGCGGAGAAAUUCCAAUCGAACCUGGAGAUAGCUGGUUCUCUCCGAAAUAGCUUUAGGGCUAGCCUCAAGUGAUGAUUAUUGGAGGUAGAGCACUGUUUGGACGAGGGGCCCCUCUCGGGUUACCGAAUUCAGACAAACUCCGAAUGCCAAUUAAUUUAACUUGGGAGUCAGAACAUGGGUGAUAAGGUCCGUGUUCGAAAGGGAAACAGCCCAGACCACCAGCUAAGGUCCCAAAAUAUAUGUUAAGUGGAAAAGGAUGUGGCGUUGCCCAGACAACUAGGAUGUUGGCUUAGAAGCAGCCAUCAUUUAAAGAGUGCGUAAUAGCUCACUAGUCGAGUGACACUGCGCCGAAAAUGUACCGGGGCUAAACAUAUUACCGAAGCUGUGGAUUGUCCUUUGGACAAUGGUAGGAGAGCGUUCUAAGGGCGUUGAAGCAUGAUCGUAAGGACAUGUGGAGCGCUUAGAAGUGAGAAUGCCGGUGUGAGUAGCGAAAGACGGGUGAGAAUCCCGUCCACCGAUUGACUAAGGUUUCCAGAGGAAGGCUCGUCCGCUCUGGGUUAGUCGGGUCCUAAGCUGAGGCCGACAGGCGUAGGCGAUGGAUAACAGGUUGAUAUUCCUGUACCACCUAUAAUCGUUUUAAUCGAUGGGGGGACGCAGUAGGAUAGGCGAAGCGUGCGAUUGGAUUGCACGUCUAAGCAGUAAGGCUGAGUAUUAGGCAAAUCCGGUACUCGUUAAGGCUGAGCUGUGAUGGGGAGAAGACAUUGUGUCUUCGAGUCGUUGAUUUCACACUGCCGAGAAAAGCCUCUAGAUAGAAAAUAGGCGCCCGUACCGCAAACCGACACAGGUAGUCAAGAUGAGAAUUCUAAGGUGAGCGAGCGAACUCUCGUUAAGGAACUCGGCAAAAUGACCCCGUAACUUCGGGAGAAGGGGUGCUCUUUAGGGUUAACGCCCAGAAGAGCCGCAGUGAAUAGGCCCAAGCGACUGUUUAUCAAAAACACAGGUCUCUGCUAAACCGUAAGGUGAUGUAUAGGGGCUGACGCCUGCCCGGUGCUGGAAGGUUAAGAGGAGUGGUUAGCUUCUGCGAAGCUACGAAUCGAAGCCCCAGUAAACGGCGGCCGUAACUAUAACGGUCCUAAGGUAGCGAAAUUCCUUGUCGGGUAAGUUCCGACCCGCACGAAAGGCGUAACGAUUUGGGCACUGUCUCAACGAGAGACUCGGUGAAAUCAUAGUACCUGUGAAGAUGCAGGUUACCCGCGACAGGACGGAAAGACCCCGUGGAGCUUUACUGUAGCCUGAUAUUGAAAUUCGGCACAGCUUGUACAGGAUAGGUAGGAGCCUUUGAAACGUGAGCGCUAGCUUACGUGGAGGCGCUGGUGGGAUACUACCCUAGCUGUGUUGGCUUUCUAACCCGCACCACUUAUCGUGGUGGGAGACAGUGUCAGGCGGGCAGUUUGACUGGGGCGGUCGCCUCCUAAAAGGUAACGGAGGCGCUCAAAGGUUCCCUCAGAAUGGUUGGAAAUCAUUCAUAGAGUGUAAAGGCAUAAGGGAGCUUGACUGCGAGACCUACAAGUCGAGCAGGGUCGAAAGACGGACUUAGUGAUCCGGUGGUUCCGCAUGGAAGGGCCAUCGCUCAACGGAUAAAAGCUACCCCGGGGAUAACAGGCUUAUCUCCCCCAAGAGUUCACAUCGACGGGGAGGUUUGGCACCUCGAUGUCGGCUCAUCGCAUCCUGGGGCUGUAGUCGGUCCCAAGGGUUGGGCUGUUCGCCCAUUAAAGCGGUACGCGAGCUGGGUUCAGAACGUCGUGAGACAGUUCGGUCCCUAUCCGUCGUGGGCGUAGGAAAUUUGAGAGGAGCUGUCCUUAGUACGAGAGGACCGGGAUGGACAUACCUCUGGUGUACCAGUUGUCGUGCCAACGGCAUAGCUGGGUAGCUAUGUGUGGACGGGAUAAGUGCUGAAAGCAUCUAAGCAUGAAGCCCCCCUCAAGAUGAGAUUUCCCAACUUCGGUUAUAAGAUCCCUCAAAGAUGAUGAGGUUAAUAGGUUCGAGGUGGAAGCAUGGUGACAUGUGGAGCUGACGAAUACUAAUCGAUCGAAGACUUAAUCAA
Molecule: ribosomal RNA, 2923 nt
Filed under: Staphylococcus aureus
Lineage: Bacteria; Bacillati; Bacillota; Bacilli; Caryophanales; Staphylococcaceae
Description: 23S ribosomal RNA
Rfam family: Bacterial large subunit ribosomal RNA
Source: RNAcentral